GGUACUCCAAAAAAAUGAGAAGAUAUUACUUUUACCUUCCUACUGAACAAAAGGUAUUUGUCAGCAGUAAGACACACUUUUUUGGAAAAGGAGUUCCUCAGUGAAGGAAUAAAUGUCUCUAAAGUCAUGCUUGAUGAAGUUCGACAGGUAGAAGAAACGACACCAGUAACUGAAUCUGAAUCAAAUUUUAUAAGAUCAAAUCCAAAGCCCAAUAUACAAACAUCUUUAAGG
RNAcentral lists this long non-coding RNA (231 nucleotides) under Elaeis guineensis (African oil palm). RNAcentral's name for it is "long non-coding RNA (EGUI_LNC042161)". Lineage: Eukaryota; Viridiplantae; Streptophyta; Magnoliopsida; Arecales; Arecaceae. The record is from RNAcentral.